GUGUCAGCCGCCGCGGUAAUACAGAGGUCCCGAGCGUUGUUCGGAUUCACUGGGCGUAAAGGGUGCGUAGGCGGUUGGGCAAGUCUGAUGUGAAAGCCCCGGGCCUAACCCGGGAACGGCAUCGGAAACUACCCGGCUAGAGGGUUGGAGGGGGGAUUGGAAUUCCCGGUGUAGCAGUGAAAUGCGUAGAGAUCGGGAGGAACGCCAGUGGCGAAGGCGAGUCCCUGGACAACCCCUGACGCUGAGGCACGAAAGCUUGGGGAGCAAACAGGAUUAGAAACCCCAGUAGUCC
RNAcentral lists this ribosomal RNA (292 nucleotides) under uncultured bacterium. Its description in RNAcentral is "partial 16S ribosomal RNA". It matches the Rfam family "Bacterial small subunit ribosomal RNA", at positions 505 to 796 of the family's 1533-position model. The record is from RNAcentral.